This 77-nucleotide transfer RNA is filed under the name Sulfurospirillum sp. UBA11407. RNAcentral describes it as "tRNA-Glu". It matches the Rfam family "tRNA". From Rfam's summary of the family: Transfer RNA (tRNA) molecules are approximately 80 nucleotides in length. Their secondary structure includes four short double-helical elements and three loops (D, anti-codon, and T loops). Further hydrogen bonds mediate the characteristic L-shaped molecular structure. tRNAs have two regions of fundamental functional importance: the anti-codon, which is responsible for specific mRNA codon recognition, and the 3' end, to which the tRNAs corresponding amino acid is attached (by aminoacyl-tRNA synthetases). tRNAs cope with the degeneracy of the genetic code in two manners: having more than one tRNA (with a specific anti-codon) for a particular amino acid; and 'wobble' base-pairing, i.e. permitting non-standard base-pairing at the 3rd anti-codon position. The record is from RNAcentral. Lineage: Bacteria; Pseudomonadati; Campylobacterota; Epsilonproteobacteria; Campylobacterales; Sulfurospirillaceae.
GACCCCUUCGUCUAGUGGUCCUAGGACCCCGCCCUUUCACGGCGGUAACAGGGGUUCAAAUCCCCUUGGGAUCACCA